RNAcentral lists this ribosomal RNA (460 nucleotides) under uncultured bacterium. RNAcentral's name for it is "partial 16S ribosomal RNA". It matches the Rfam family "Bacterial small subunit ribosomal RNA", at positions 338 to 795 of the family's 1533-position model. The record is from RNAcentral.
CCUACGGGUGGCAGCAGUGAGGAAUAUUGGUCAAUGGACGCAAGUCUGAACCAGUCAAGUCGCGUGAAGGAAGACUGCCCUAUGGGUUGUAAACUUCUUUUAUAUGGGAAUAAAAUGUUCCACGUGUGGGGUUUUGUAUGUACCAUACGAAUAAGGAUCGGCUAACUCCGUGCCAGCAGCCGCGGUAAUACGGAGGAUUCGAGCGUUAUCCGGAUUUAUUGGGUUUAAAGGGUGCGUAGGUGGAUUGUUAAGUCAGUGGUGAAAGUCUGCGGCUCAACCGGAGAAUUGCAGUUGAAACUGGCAGGCUAGAGUAUAGUAGAGGUAGGCGGAAUGCGUGGUGUAGCGGUGAAAUGCUUAGAUAUCACGCAGAACACCGAUUGCGAAGGCAGCUCACUGGACUACAACUGACGCUGAGGCACGAAAGUGUGGGGAGCAAACAGGAUUAGAUACCCUUGUAGUC